CAAAACGACUAAAUGCGAUACGUGGUGUGAAUUGCAGAAUCCCGUGAACCAUCGAGUUUUUGAACGCAAGUUGCGCCCAAAGCCUUUUGGUUGAGGGCACGUCUGCCUGGG
This 111-nucleotide ribosomal RNA is filed under the name Garcinia griffithii. Its description in RNAcentral is "5.8S ribosomal RNA". It matches the Rfam family "5.8S ribosomal RNA", at positions 40 to 149 of the family's 154-position model. From Rfam's summary of the family: 5.8S ribosomal RNA (5.8S rRNA) is a component of the large subunit of the eukaryotic ribosome. It is transcribed by RNA polymerase I as part of the 45S precursor that also contains 18S and 28S rRNA. Functionally, it is thought that 5.8S rRNA may be involved in ribosome translocation. The record is from RNAcentral. Lineage: Eukaryota; Viridiplantae; Streptophyta; Magnoliopsida; Malpighiales; Clusiaceae.